RNAcentral lists this transfer RNA (73 nucleotides) under Canis lupus familiaris (dog). It matches the Rfam family "tRNA". From Rfam's summary of the family: Transfer RNA (tRNA) molecules are approximately 80 nucleotides in length. RNAcentral also lists the same sequence under 1 other name. The record is from Rfam by way of RNAcentral. Lineage: Eukaryota; Metazoa; Chordata; Mammalia; Carnivora; Canidae.
GCCUGGUUGGCUCAGUCGGUAGAGCAUGUGACUCUUAAUCUCAGGGUUGUAAGUUCAAGCCCCACAUUGGGUG